RNAcentral lists this transfer RNA (76 nucleotides) under Candidatus Rokubacteria bacterium RIFCSPLOWO2_02_FULL_72_37. RNAcentral's name for it is "tRNA-Val". It matches the Rfam family "tRNA". From Rfam's summary of the family: Transfer RNA (tRNA) molecules are approximately 80 nucleotides in length. Their secondary structure includes four short double-helical elements and three loops (D, anti-codon, and T loops). Lineage: Bacteria; Candidatus Rokuibacteriota. The record is from RNAcentral.
GGGCGGCUAGCUCAGCUGGGAGAGCGCAGCCCUUACAAGGCUGAGGUUGCAGGUUCGAGCCCUGCGCCGCCCACCA